Molecule: ribosomal RNA, 253 nt
Filed under: uncultured bacterium
Lineage: Bacteria
Description: partial 16S ribosomal RNA
Rfam family: Bacterial small subunit ribosomal RNA
Source: RNAcentral
UACGUAGGGUGCGAGCGUUAAUCGGAAUUACUGGGCGUAAAGCGUGCGCAGGCGGUUCGCUGUGUCCGAUGUGAAAGCCCCGGGCUUAACCUGGGAAUGGCAUUGGAUACUGGCAGGCUAGAGUGCGGUAGAGGGUGGUGGAAUUCCCGGUGUAGCAGUGAAAUGCGUAGAGAUCGGGAGGAACAUCUGUGGCGAAGGCGGCCACCUGGACCAGCACUGACACUGAGGCACGAAAGCGUGGGGAGCAAACAGG